GGCGGCAUAGCUCAGUUGGUAGAGCAAACGGCUCAUAUCCGUUCGGUCAGGGGUCCGAGUCCCUUUGCCGCUAC
Molecule: transfer RNA, 74 nt
Filed under: bioreactor metagenome
Description: tRNA-Met
Rfam family: tRNA
About the family: Transfer RNA (tRNA) molecules are approximately 80 nucleotides in length. Their secondary structure includes four short double-helical elements and three loops (D, anti-codon, and T loops). Further hydrogen bonds mediate the characteristic L-shaped molecular structure. tRNAs have two regions of fundamental functional importance: the anti-codon, which is responsible for specific mRNA codon recognition, and the 3' end, to which the tRNAs corresponding amino acid is attached (by aminoacyl-tRNA synthetases). tRNAs cope with the degeneracy of the genetic code in two manners: having more than one tRNA (with a specific anti-codon) for a particular amino acid; and 'wobble' base-pairing, i.e. permitting non-standard base-pairing at the 3rd anti-codon position.
Source: RNAcentral